RNAcentral lists this ribosomal RNA (84 nucleotides) under Streptococcus agalactiae. Lineage: Bacteria; Bacillati; Bacillota; Bacilli; Lactobacillales; Streptococcaceae. RNAcentral also lists the same sequence under 6 other names. The record is from RNAcentral.
UUUGGUGAUGAUGGCAGAGAGGUCACACCCGUUCCCAUACCGAACACGGAAGUUAAGCUCUCUAGCGCCGAUGGUAGUUGGGAC